This 7953-nucleotide unclassified non-coding RNA is filed under the name Haliotis rufescens (red abalone). Its description in RNAcentral is "monocarboxylate transporter 12-like, transcript variant X1". Lineage: Eukaryota; Metazoa; Mollusca; Gastropoda; Lepetellida; Haliotidae. The record is from RNAcentral.
ACUUCGGUAUUUAUCCUGCUUGUGGUUCGAACUGUCUACACCAGUCACGAAACUACUUGACUUGGCUCCAUCUUUCUUUGAACUCUUGCCUUGUUUGGAUCCCCAGUGAACUUGGCUCUUGGAUAUAGCUUCCUUUCCAAACACAGGCUCAUUAGCAGAUCUAGAAGCAAACUCAAUGAAAUGCACAAGAUUUUCAAAGUCAACAGGCCUGUUGCUAUGAAGUUGUGCUCUGGUAACAUGAUCACGCCAUUUAACGCUUGCAAGUUAACAGAAUGAUUAAGAACAGUCAUGUGUGACAUAGUCUUCAUUGCAUGAAAACACUUGAUGAGGAAGUGAGAGAAUUGUUUAAGUCCAUGACAAUCAUCAUGCUUGAUCUGAGGCCAUGAUAGAACUUGAUUAACAUAGGCAGUUGAAACUUUGUAUGGGUUACCAUACUCACUACUCAACAGGUCCCUGGCCUUAGUGUAGCCUUCCUCUGGAUCAAUGUAGAGACAUCCAGCAAUCAAGUCCUUUGGUUCUCCCUCAAGCUGCUGUUCCAGGUAGUAGAGUCGAUCUAUAGAGCUGCUAGCAUGAGGAACUAUACGGGCAUCAAAAGACAUGAUAAAUGCACCAUAUUCUGUAGGGUCACCUUUAAACUUUGGCACCUUAGGCUGAGGUGACAACAUAGCUGUUGCCAUCUGUCUAUGAGCUUGCAAAAUCAGUUCAUUCUAGUCAUGUAAAUGCUGGGCUGUAUCUUCUGUCCUAGAGCUUUCCAUACCAGGACACUUUGAAAAGGAUGGUUGAAAGUCAGAAGCAUUUGGGUUAAGCCCUUUCUGAUGCUCAUUAUCGUCCAAAUGUUCAUGUUUGAAUACAAGAUGAGGUCUUUUGUCAAAAGGUUUCAAAAUGGGGUUACCACUUUGAACAAUACUGGCAUUUGACAACUGUAGCUUAAAAUCGGCACUAUAUGAACUACCUACUUCAAGACAUUGGGGCAUGUUGCCAGGAGAUCUUAGCAUAUCAGGCACAGUAGCUUUGAUAUCAGGCAUAGAAGGAUUGACACUAGGUCUUGAUGCUACAGAGAUCCUUUUAUCAUGAUCAACUAAAGUGUUAGAAACAUAAAGAUUACACUCCACUACACCAGGCGUAUAAGUUCUUGUGUCUGCUUGUGAAUCAGCAUAGACUUUCUCACGUGCCUGAGAUUUAGCAAUUUUAAUGUCUAACUUCAAAGAUUGCAAUUUCUUAGACUCUUCAAGAAAAGACUUUUCAACUAAAAGUUCAGCCAACCUUGCACGCUCCUUUGUAUAUGCUGACCUGGUUGAACUCCUGGAAUGUCUCGAUGACUUGAAACUUUUUGAUGACUUGAACUCCCUAGAAGACACACUUUCAAGGUGAUCCGCCAGGACAUUCUCCAUGCGAGUAAUCCAAUUUUCUACUUCGCUACGAAACUGUAGAAUGGAAAUCUCCCUCUCCUGGUGACCCAUCUGCUCUGAACUCUGCACAUCCUCUGAAAUAAGCUCUUCAUAAUAAUUUGUGAAACAUACAGAAUACUUUUGACACAAGUCUUUAUAUUCAACAAAGGUAAGCUGAACAACAUGCAAAUUGUCACUACUGCUACUGAUCAAGAGUCUAGAAAGUUCUGUUCUCUUCUUAGUAAGAGAAGAGAGAACAUCGGUCACUCUGGUUUUCAACAAACGAAUCUGUUCAGCUUUCCCGUGCUCAGUAAUUGUCCUUUGACGACCAGAACGACGUAGAAUGUUCUCACCACCAGCACCACUAUCCUCCUGAAUGUCAUUACUCACUUCAUUACCUUGUCUAGUCUCAAUCACACUUGCACCUUGAGCUAGCUGUUUCUGUUCUGUAGCGGUCUCAUCACCACUAUCUAUCAGCAUCCUUUCUUCUGUGUCUAUGCCCCGUUGUCAUCUUGAGCGUUGUCGUUGGGCAAUACACCGUUAGGAUUCAUGAUGUUGUAACAAUCACCAAACUUCAAUGAAAAUUCACGAAAUUCAAAAUCCAAAAUAUGUGCAGUCUAUGGUCAACAGUCUACACAAUGUCUUCCUAAUCAUUUAGAUGCAGGGAAGAUUUUCUUGAACUAUAUUAUAGCAGAAAUCAACAGUCUUGAUACUCUCAAUUGAUGUUUAUUGUCCGUUAUUCGUUGAAAAUAAUAAGUGAAAAGCUCAUUCGUUUGUAUCCGUUAACAUGCUUUUCCUUUGAACGUUGAAGUUCAAGAAACUAGAAAAUAACAAGAAAAUGUUCUAAGUUACAGUGUAAACAGUGAAUUGGCUAAGUUGUUACAAAUACAAAAUUCUACAAAUAUUAUAUCAUUUGAAGAUAAAUGAUAGCUUCAACAUUACUUUAGAUGUACACACAUUGUAUAAAUAUGAAUAAGCAGGUUAAAAACUUACAUCUGUGUUCUGCAAUAGUUCAUGACAUGUUUCUCCAACAUGGAGACCUUUCAAACUGAAGGUGACAGUGGAUGAGGUCACAUGACUAAUCCCAUGAUGCAACACAACUGAUUAUAAGUCACAAAAACUUUUGCCUGAACCUGGGAUUGAACCCUGGACCUUUAUGCUGCUAGUCCAGUGACAUAACCAACAGACCAUUGUUAAGGCUGAUAUCUGUACAUGAAAUUCAUAACAUUUUUGCAUAACAGAUUUGCAACAUAAAUUAUACAUUCUGCACUAACACUACUACAUAUCACUGAAACGUAUGCUAAUGGAGCCUUUACACAGGAUGGCGACCUUUGUGCCUCCCGUGUGCGACGUUAAAAUUUGUCAGGUCGUCGAUGGAGGCUAAAAGGAGGCAGAAUGGUUGCCUAGGUCGAUCCAAGGUGGUACACAGGAGGUUCAGACAUCGCAAUGGACGCCAUGGUCGCCGUGAAUGUUCAAAACAGUCUCACAAAGGUCGCCGAGGAGGUUGGUUGCUCAAAGGUGGCUCAAAGGAGGCAGAAGGGAGGCACAAGCAUUCCCGUUUUUGCAGAAUUAAGGCACACUGGUCGCCCUAUGGUCGCCAGGUAAUAGAUACGUUCUGCUGAAAUAUUGUCCCGUAAAUCUGGGCGAUGCUUCUGCCUACGUUGUGCCUUCUUUGGACGACCAACAGCGUGCAUUGAACGAUGACUAUGGCGACCGCCGUGCCUCCAUUUGGCGACCACGGCAACCCUUAAGACACCAUGGCAAUGCUUAGGCCUCUUUUCUGCCUCCUUUGAGCUACCUGUUGUGCCUCCUCAGCCUGCCUAUACAUAGAGGGCUAGUACCUGCAGUGUUUCAUUGUGGUUGCAGAUGCUGAACAACUCGAGCAGUUACUGCUGAACAACUGCUGGAGCAGUUACAUAGAAACAUGAUUUUCUGGGUUAAGGCGACCAUUGAGCGUCCUGGCCAGUUUUUGAUCGCUCAAAGGUGGCACAAAGGUCGCAGCCCUGUGUAAUGGGGCCUUUACAGAUGGCAGUUAAAAUACAAUGCAAGUAAAGUGCUGUAUUAUCAUUUAAAUGUGCAAUAAAACUUACGCAGCCCUUAAACUUAUAUUUAGGUGAAAUCAAGCUCCCAGUAAAGGAUUCUGUUAUAUAUGCAGGAGUAUUUAUCUGUACAGGAAGAUUAUCCUUGAGCGUCAACCCUAGCUUGUGAGAAACUCAAAAUCGAUUAAUAUUAAUCAGAACCUUGGCUUGGACUUUGGUGGUCCUAACCCAACUGCUGCUGUUCGUAUAUGGGACAUGUUACAGAUUGUCACAAAAUAUAAACUAGGCGAUGAAAUAGACAACUUUGUAUUAAUUCUCGUUUUGUUAAGAAAGAAAUCUUGGACCUCAUUAGUUAAGCAAAGUGUACGCCACCACGAUACAUUAGCAGUAGAAAGGGAACUUCAAACCAGAUUAGCACUGUCUAGAUACAUCGUUAUCAGAUCCGGUAGUGCACCGAGGUUAUGGAAACUUGCUACACUACACACAGAUAACUUUGCUGACAUUGCUAGGCUUGCAUGCAUAGGACCAUCCUCUAUACAGCCUAAAGAAUGUCAGUGUGGCACAGUUGCUAAUGAUAUUGUUAAACGUGUGUUUAUGUCAUGUCAAAUCAACCUCCACGAAAGAGACCUCCUGUUAUAACAAAUUGAAUUACUAAAACUUGCUACUGUUGAUUUCCACUACCAUUAAUUUAGCUCUUGUGUUGUAAUAACUAUACACAUACAUAUGCUGUAAUCUUUAUAUUAUGGAGGAAAUAAAGAAUAUCUAUAUAUGAUCAGCUCAGGAUGAGCCAAGCUGAAAAAAACGAUAUUUGUUGCGCGCAAUUUCACUACAAGGCUUCUUAUUCUCUACAGCUUCAACAAAUAUUUCUCAGAUGGAUCUUUGAAUUCAGGAGUCUAGCUUGGUAGUGCUUCUCGGUACCUAUUAGUAAUAAGGAUAAAUACCAUAAAAAGAUCUAAGGAAAUAUUGCGCAUUAAGAUAUUUGAAACCAGGACUCAAACGGUAUUUGGGAGUAUUUUUACCCUUUUAGUACAAUUGGUGUUUUCCCCCUUUUUUUGACGAGCUUGACUAUAUGGGAUAUAUCAUGAGUGCUAUGACCCAGAAAGCAGCAAUAAUCCUAUUCUUACAUCAAAACUCUGAAGUGAUGAAUACUAUUUCUCUGUGUGAUUUCUAAAUGAAAUACAAUAUACAUAUAUUGUGUUGGUGCCUGGACCUUAGACCAUUCCUUAUCUGUAUAAAAAGUCCAAGACAAUGCAGUUAUUUCUGUACCAAUAUUGUGCACUUUGGGGACUUUGUAACAAAUAACAAACUUUCAGAUGUUUGAAGCUACGAGUCUAGCUUUAAGGUGUGACACCUCGGUAACCCGACAACUUACUAUUGUCUGGGCCCUAGCUGUUAGCUGUAUCUAUGUGUCUGGCUUGGCCUGGAGACAUUACAUCGAUUCUCUGCACGGUGAACUUCAAAGAUCCAGCUUGAGUAACAAUACAAUUUGGAAUACAUGUUUACUGCACCCAUACAUAAAGACGUUUUGGGAAGACACAUUUAGUCAAUAAUAUACUGGCUUUGGUCAAACAUACCUACCUGACUGCUCUUUUAUUAUGUCCCAUUUGAGACAUCCAGGCAAAAGUCCAUUUACUUACAUACACUUUCAUAUGACCCAAUGAGAUAUAUAUAAUCUUUAUCUACAAAAUGGCAAAUAAUUUGGCACCUGCUUAUCUCUGCAACGUAGUCCCAGACCAGGUUAACGCUCGCAGUGAUCACAGCCUCCUCAGACCUCCAAACAAUAAGAUGUAAGACUGAACACUACGCAGGCUCCUUUAUACGUAACUCUACAAAGUUAUGGAAUAAUCUAUCAGAAGAAAUUAAAUCUACUGGCUCAUACUCAAAUUUCCGAGAUAUAUUAUCAUGCAAGAACAAUUACAAACAGUUCUUUCCUACAGAUUUUGGAACCAGAUUCUGUCAAAUUAUUCACUGCCGCCUCGGACUCGGCUGUGACCUAAACGGACAUAAAUUCGACAGAUUCAUAACUCACAGCCCAGAUUGUUCCCGAGGUCACCACUAUAAAGACCCGCUAAACUACUACUUCUGUGUUGCAAUAAUGAUCCAAUUAGAAGCAAAUCAUUAUAUUACAUAAAAUAAUAUGAUAUUAAGAAAGUACGUUACGGAUGUGAAGGCCUAUCAUCUGAAGCAAAUCAAGAAAUUCUUGUAUUUGUCCGUACUUUCAUCACAAAUUCUGGUAGAUUUAAACUUAAAUAAUACACCAAACUCUCACAUAUAAUAUAUGUGUAUCUUGUGUACAUUAUGUAGUACUUAAUGUUACGUAUAGAUGAGUUGCAGCAGACUUGCCGUUCCGUCUCCGGUCGCGCAUGCGCAUCGUGCGUGCGGCAAAAGACCACGGAAGUGAACCGCGACGACCCGCUGUCAAGGUCAGAGCUGUCAAACUUCGCGCUGCCGUAUUUACGUUCCGUGUUUACACAUUUAUCAUGAGUACCUACUACAAACAUCUUUGUGCAGUAGACAAGCUUCGUUACGAAGAAAAACUUAAUUUACUUGGAUUUUCGCUAGAUUGGGAACCAUAUAUCAUUAAUAAGUACUGGAUUGACGACGUUUCACAGUAGCCAAACUUGCAGUAUGGCGACCUGUACACGUAUCUAAUAGAUUCGCCUGGUCCUUUUACCAGAAAGAGUUUGCGAUGUUUUCGUUCACUAGAGGCCUAUACUUUGUUUGAAAGUGGAUGGGUUCAUACGUGUCUCAUCAGGUACAACUCUUCACAGACCAAGUGCAUGAUUAAGGCCAAGGUUCACAGAUCCCAAGCUGUGACAGAGAAGCCCCAUGAAGCCUGGGUUGGUCUGGAUAAGAGUGGCAGGGUGGAGUGUGCACACUGUACAUGCAUGGCAGGAUUGGGUGAAGUCUGUUCACAUGUUGCUGGUAUCCUAUUUAAAGUGGAGGCCUGUGUUCGAUUUGAGUACAACAAAGUUUCCUGUACGUCCAUGCCCUGUUCCUGGAAUCAGACAUUCACAAAGAAGGUUGAACCAGCUAUGGUGGCAGACAUAAAUUUCUCCAAAGUCAAGAAGGUGCACUUGGCACCACCUCUGGCCCAGAGACAACCAGUUAAAUUUGCAGAUAGUUCUAGUCUUUUAGUAAAGUUGAGAAAAAGUGUACCCUCCGCAGCCAUAUUUACUAUUACUAACCCUGUUAUUACCGACUGGUCCGAAGAAGAACAUGCCCAACUUCCUUCUCCACUAUCACUUUUAUUUGAUGAGAAAUAUAAACAUUUGACUGAGGCAGAGUUGAAAUGUAAAUGUGAGAAUGUUUUUUCUGAUGAGUUAAAAAUAACACAGCAGGAAGCUACAGUGUUGGAGAAAGAAACCAUCUGUCAGAGUGGAUCAGCUACCUGGUUUGAGUACAGAAUAGGACGUUUAACUGCCUCUAAUUUUGUGAGUAUUUAUCAUUGUCAGUGUAAACCCAGUCAGGUUUCGUUAUUGAAAAAGAUAAUGCAAUAUGACCAAACUACUGACUCUGACAGUAAUAAACAUGACCAAGCUAGUGUGUAUGCUCCCUGUGAGUGGGGUUUGGAACACGAAAAUGACGCUCUUGAUCAAUAUAAAACUAUUAUGAUAUCUGGUCAUACCAACCUUGUCUUACAGAAAUCCGGUUUUGUCAUCAACCCAGAUUUCCCCCACUUAGGUGCUACACCUGACUCAUAUGUGACAUGUGACUGUUGUGGUAAGGGUCUUGUGGAGGUUAAGUGUCUCUUUAAAUACAGAGACCAGCAUCCUUGUGAAAUUUGUGAUAAUCAGUUCUAUCUAAAACCUCAUGUAAAAUAUGAUCCUGUUUGUAUAAACUCGCUUCAAACUAGCCACAAUUAUUAUCAUCAGGUGCAAGGCCAGUUACAUGUCUGUGAUAUGAAUUAUUGUGACUUUGUUGACUGGUCCAGAAAGGGUAUCCAUAUUGAACGUGUCAUAAAAGACACUACAUUUUGGAACUCACUGAAAGUGAAAUUAGAUUUCUACUUUUUGAGAAUUGUUUUACCUGAACUACUGACUAGAGCACAUGACCAUAAGAUGAACCAUGCUCACCCAGUAUCCAGAGAAAGGCGUCGCUGCAUAAUGUAUGAAUAAUACAAUGCAAUGUAUGUACAUCAAUGCUUGUGGUAAGAGGCGACAAACGGGAUCGGGUGGUCAGGCUCGCUGAUUUGUUUGAACUGUGUCAUCAUAUCCCAAUUGUGUGGAUCGAUGCCCAUGAUGCUCAUGAUGUCAAUCACUGGAUUGUCUGGUCCAGACUCAAUUAUUUACAGACAGCUGUCAUAUAGCUAAAAUAUUACUGAUUGCAGAGUUAAACAACAAACAAACAAAUGCUGCUGAUCAUGCUUGAUAACUGACCACCAAGUGACCAGUGAAUAGUCUUCCAAUCACGUAGACCAGUUGUCGAGUUGCAAUCGUCAUCGCGGGGAUAUUCACAUUUGAAGGAUUUAUUCUUGGAAGCUUGUCAUCCGAUGUGCGAAUUCUCUUCAUCGCCUAUGGUCUUCU